This 426-nucleotide ribosomal RNA is filed under the name uncultured bacterium. Its description in RNAcentral is "bacterial SSU rRNA". It matches the Rfam family "Bacterial small subunit ribosomal RNA", at positions 355 to 774 of the family's 1533-position model. The record is from RNAcentral.
UGGGGAAUCUUGCGCAAUGGGCGAAAGCCUGACGCAGCGACGCCGCGUGAGUGAUGAAGGCCUUCGGGUUGUAAAGCUCUGUGGGGAGAGAAGAAUAAGUCGUAGUGAAUAUCUACGAUGAUGACGGUAUCUCCUUAGCAAGCACCGGCUAACUCUGUGCCAGCAGCCGCGGUAAGACAGAGGGUGCAAACGUUGUUCGGAAUUACUGGGCGUAAAGCGUGUGUAGGCGGUGAGGUAAGUCAGGUGUGAAAUCCCACGGCUCAACCAUGGAAGUGCACUUGAUACUGCUUCGCUUGAGUACUGGAGAGGUUGGUGGAAUUCUUGGUGUAGAGGUGAAAUUCGUAGAUAUCAAGAGGAACACCGGUGGCGAAGGCGGCCAACUGGACAGAUACUGACGCUGAGACACGAAAGCGCGGGGAGCAAACA